This 465-nucleotide ribosomal RNA is filed under the name uncultured bacterium. RNAcentral describes it as "partial 16S ribosomal RNA". It matches the Rfam family "Bacterial small subunit ribosomal RNA", at positions 28 to 507 of the family's 1533-position model. The record is from RNAcentral.
GACGAACGCUGGCGGCGUGCUUAACACAUGCAAGUCGUACGGUAAGGCCCUUUCGGGGGUACACGAGUGGCGAACGGGUGAGUAACACGUGAGUAACCUGCCCACAACUUUGGGAUAACGCUAGGAAACUGGUGCUAAUACUGGAUAUGUGCUCCUGCUGCAUGGUGGGGGUUGGAAAGCUCCGGCGGUUGUGGAUGGACUCGCGGCCUAUCAGCUUGUUGGUGGGGUAGUGGCCUACCAAGGCGGCGACGGGUAGCCGGCCUGAGAGGGUGACCGGCCACAUUGGGACUGAGAUACGGCCCAGACUCCUACGGGAGGCAGCAGUGGGGAAUAUUGCACAAUGGGCGUAAGCCUGAUGCAGCAACGCCGCGUGCGGGAGGACGGCCUUCGGGUUGUAAACCGCUUUCAGCAGGGACGAAGCUUUUUGUGACGGUACCUGCAGAAGAAGCACCGGCUAACUACGUG